GCGCACGUUGGCUGCACAGCCAGUAACAGCUGGGAAUGCGCUGUGGCGCAAACCACCGGCACUCAGACGUUGGCGAUGGUGGCGUUUGUGGCUGCUGCUGAGCGCCGCCCGGCGUCCGGUUCCUUUUACCAUCAGGCUUUCAGAUUCUUGCCUCAGGAGUCGUUUGGCGCAUCUGUGAAGCGGGGGUCGUUUUGUGGAUUGUGGGACGUCAUUGCCAUUUAACGGUGCUGUCGUGUCUGGUCAGUUCUGUAGAUCCGGACCACACUGGCUGGACUGUGGACUGGCACGUUACACUCACCUCUUGCUGAGACCACGCCACUGGAUAUCCCGUUGUGUCGCACAUCUGAGCCGGGAUGACCAACUCAGAUGUUCCUUACUUUAUAACUUAGAACUCAGAACGAAGGACAGUGGAGUGAGUGUUGAGAGCAUGCUUGGUCUGAUAAGUCAACCACGGUUCUGAUUCCUAGUCCUUACAGGUUCAACGGUCUGCAAGUAGUUCCUUGUCCUUUCCAGAAGGACAGGGAUAGAGCUCCAGGUUGAACAUCCUUCUGAAAAUCCAAAAUCUGAAUUGCUUGAACAUUGAAACUUUUCAAGCACCAACAUGACGCCCCAAUUGAAAAAUUCCACACCUGACCUCCUGUGACAGGGCACAGUCAAACACAGGCUCACAACACACAGUUUAGUCAGCGUCCCCGAGGGAAAAAAGACCCUCCAGCCCCUCAUCAGCUACAAUAUUUCUUUCCCACCCAGAUUCCCACAUUAAACAUGCCCACAAAGGGUGAUAAAAUGG
Long non-coding RNA from Microcebus murinus (gray mouse lemur), 790 nucleotides. RefSeq lists it as uncharacterized. Lineage: Eukaryota; Metazoa; Chordata; Mammalia; Primates; Cheirogaleidae. The record is from RefSeq and is a predicted model, not a curated record.